RNAcentral lists this ribosomal RNA (338 nucleotides) under uncultured bacterium. Its description in RNAcentral is "bacterial SSU rRNA". It matches the Rfam family "Bacterial small subunit ribosomal RNA", at positions 1 to 334 of the family's 1533-position model. The record is from RNAcentral.
CUACGUAGCUCAGAGUUUGAUCCUGGCUCAGGAUGAACGCUGGCGGCGUGCAUAACACAUUCAAGUCGAACGGUGAUGAGGGCUUCGGUCCUCUGAUCAGUGGCGGACGGGUGAGUAACGCGUGAGCAACCUGCCUAUGUGUGUGGAAUAACACAGGGAAACUUGUGCUAAUACCGCAUAACGCAUUUGAAUCGCAUGGUUUGGAUGCCAAAGAGAAAUUGCACAUAGAUGGGCUCGCGUCUGAUUAGAUAGUUGGUGAGGUAACGGCUCACCAAGUCGACGAGCAGUAGCCGGACUGAGAGGUUGAACGGCCACAUUGGAACUGAGAUACGGUCCAG